CAUGAAGCUGGAAUCGCUAGUAAUCGCGGAUCAGAAUGCCGCGGUGAAUACGUUCCCGGGUCUUGUACACACCGCCCGUCACACCAUGGGAGUCGGAAAUGCCCGAAGUCUGUGACCCAACCGGAAGGAAGGAGCAGCCGAAGGCAGGUCUGAUGACUGGGGUGAAGUCGUAACAAGGUAAC
Molecule: ribosomal RNA, 182 nt
Filed under: uncultured bacterium
Lineage: Bacteria
Description: partial 16S ribosomal RNA
Rfam family: Bacterial small subunit ribosomal RNA
Source: RNAcentral